RNAcentral lists this ribosomal RNA (407 nucleotides) under uncultured bacterium. RNAcentral describes it as "partial 16S ribosomal RNA". It matches the Rfam family "Bacterial small subunit ribosomal RNA", at positions 29 to 526 of the family's 1533-position model. The record is from RNAcentral.
AUUGAACGCUAGCGGGCGGCCUAACACAUGCAAGUCGAGCGGAGCGGCGGCCGGGUGAGGAAUGCCUAGGAAUGUGCCCGGUAGUGGGGGAUGACGUCCGGAAACGGGAGGUGAGAUCGCAUCCUAUAGGAUGAGGAUAGGGCGGAUUAGCUAGUUGGUGGGGUAAAGGCCUACCAAGUCGACGAUCCGUAACUGGUCCGAGAGGAUGAUCAGUAACACUGGAACUGAGACACGGUCCAGACUCCUACGGGAGGCAGCAGUGGGGAAUAUUGGACAAUGGGCGAAAGCCUGAUCCAGCCAUGCCGCGUGUGUGAAGAAGGCCUUCGGAUUGUAAAGCACUUUAAGUUGGGAGGCGUUACCAACAGAAUAAGCACCGGCUAACUCCGUGCCAGCAGCCGCGGUAAUAC